Molecule: ribosomal RNA, 430 nt
Filed under: uncultured bacterium
Lineage: Bacteria
Description: bacterial SSU rRNA
Rfam family: Bacterial small subunit ribosomal RNA
Source: RNAcentral
UUUGAUCAUGGCUCAGAUUGCCCGCUGGNUGCAGGCCUAACACAUGCAAGUCGAGCGGCAGCACAAGUGAGUUUACUUAUGAGGUGGCGAGCGGCGGACGGGUGAGUAAUGCCUAGGGAUCUGCCCAGUCGAGGGGGAUAACAGUUGGAAACGACUGCUAAUACCGCAUACGCCCUACGGGGGAAAGGGGGGGACCUUCGGGCCUUCCGCGAUUGGAUGAACCUAGGUGGGAUUAGCUAGUUGGUGAGGUAAUGGCUCACCAAGGCGACGAUCCCUAGCUGUUCUGAGAGGAUGAUCAGCCACACUGGGACUGAGACACGGCCCAGACUCCUACGGGAGGCAGCAAGUGGGGAAUAUUGCACAAUGGGGGAAACCCUGAUAGCAGCCAUGCCGCGUGUGUGAAGAAGGCCUUCGGGUUGUAAAGCACUUU